RNAcentral lists this long non-coding RNA (1218 nucleotides) under Vulpes vulpes (red fox). Its description in RNAcentral is "lncRNA (ENSVVUG00000030336.1)". Lineage: Eukaryota; Metazoa; Chordata; Mammalia; Carnivora; Canidae. The record is from RNAcentral.
GUAACAAAAACUGACUGGUAGACUCCUUAACUCCCUGACUUUUCCGUACAUUUAAUCAGUUAAGGGACGGUGAACCCUGAACUCUUUCAUCACCUGUGAAGAGUUUCGGAGUAAGUUCUGGAGGAGGUGGGCCUGGAUUGACCUAGCGGUCCACUUUCCCUCUUUAACUCAGAGCCCUCCUCUACCAGAUGGGGAUAAUAAAACGCACAACUUCUCGUGGUUCUUGUGGACAUUAAAUGAGAUAAUACCCCUCAAGUUCUGAGCCCAGGUCUGAUGUAUAGUAAGAGCAGAGUAACUGUCAACUGUCACCAGGUUAGCCUUGAGUAAACACAGAAUGGCCAAGCAAGUCUGGAGGAGUAUGGGUCUCUGAAAUAGGGAAUCACUGCAAGAAGUUCAAACAAUAAUUGCUGUCCCAUCAGCCCCGGUCGAAAGGAAUCAACAACAGAGAAAAAAAAGUAGUUUCAGGAUGAAAACAAAAUAGAACUUGCUCCUCCGACACCAAAGGGUUCCUACUGUGUUUUCUGUAGUUGUCAUCCGUCGGGCAGGGCCCUCGGCCUUAACACUGCCUUAGAGAUUCAGCCACCAGCAAACGACCUACGCUCAGGACACGUCCCUCCUCAUCUUCCCUGGCCCCUCACAGAUGGUUUGCAGUCCCCAGAGAAGGGGCCUGAGGAGGCACAUCACCGUGGAAGAUCUGUCCCCUCUCGUGGUGGCCCAAGGACAUGAGGAAGCGUCCAAGCUACUCUCCAGGUAUCGACCCGCUACCUCAUCAGAAAAGCAGAACAUUCAGAGCUAAGAGGAGGUCAGCAGCUACUCGUGUAUUCCUCUUACUUCACAAUGAAGAGGUGGUGAUAUAUUCAUGAGAGAGCAAGAGAUCAGAGUUGGCAUCGGCAGAAUCAGGACUAGAACUCCAGACUGGAAGUCAGUACCCGGUCUCCCGACUCUCUCUAUACCAGGUCAAGAUGGACCAGGUGGAGGGACCAGAACAAGAGUGAGGAGCGUGAGAAGCCAGCUGUUCCAGCACACCAGCCUUCUGAGUCUAGGCAGCAUCAACCGCCAGACACACAAACAAAUGAAUCUUGAGAUGAUUCAUGCCAAGCUUCAGGCCAUCCAACUGGAACCCCAGACAUCAUGAAGUAGAGACAAACUGUCCCUGCCAUGCCCUGUCUUAUGUCCUGAACAGAAUAAUAAAUGGGUAUUUAACAACGCUAAGCCUCA